Molecule: ribosomal RNA, 500 nt
Filed under: uncultured Acidovorax sp.
Lineage: Bacteria; Pseudomonadati; Pseudomonadota; Betaproteobacteria; Burkholderiales; Comamonadaceae
Description: partial 16S ribosomal RNA
Source: RNAcentral
CACGUAGUUAGCCGGUGCUUAUUCUUACGGUACCGUCAUGGACCCCCUUUAUUAGAAGGAGUCUUUUCGUUCCGUACAAAAGCAGUUUACAACCCGAAGGCCUUCAUCCUGCACGCGGCAUGGCUGGAUCAGGCUUGCGCCCAUUGUCCAAAAUUCCCCACUGCUGCCUCCCGUAGGAGUCUGGGCCGUGUCUCAGUCCCAGUGUGGCUGGUCGUCCUCUCAGACCAGCUACAGAUCGUCGGCUUGGUAAGCUUUUAUCCCACCAACUACCUAAUCUGCCAUCGGCCGCUCCGUGAGCGCAAGGCCUUGCGGUCCCCUGCUUUCAUCCUGAGAUCGUAUGCGGUAUUAGCAAAGCUUUCGCUUCGUUAUCCCCCACUCUCGGGCACGUUCCGAUGUAUUACUCACCCGUUCGCCACUCGUCAGCAUCCGAAGACCUGUUACCGUUCGACUUGCAUGUGUAAGGCAUGCCGCCAGCGUUCAAUCUGAGCCAGGAUCAAACU